RNAcentral lists this long non-coding RNA (1077 nucleotides) under Heterocephalus glaber (naked mole-rat). RNAcentral describes it as "lncRNA (ENSHGLG00100032486.2)". The record is from RNAcentral. Lineage: Eukaryota; Metazoa; Chordata; Mammalia; Rodentia; Bathyergidae.
CUUACACAGAAAAUGGAGUUUAGUCCUCACACCACCAGACUUUUGUUUUACUCUAAAACUGUCUUUGAAUCUUCACGGACAGCUGCAGAAACUGCACUUUGCAGACCCUCCUGAGCUGGUGAAUGCUUUCCCUCCAUGCUGUGGUCUCAGCCUUCUGCUCACAAGUGGCCCUACUUUUCCAGUCACAUUCACAGGAAUCUGAAACUAACCACAGUCAUGCGGCAGAGCAGUGAGAAAACGUUUUCCAGCUGCACUACCGAACUUGACGACCGGUGAGAGGCCUCUCCCCGAGCUGCCGGCCAGAGCUGGACCUGCGCCACUGGAAACAGAAGUGCAACUUUAUCACUUGACUUCAAGAAGAGCUUUUCCAGCAGCACAUGGAGACAAUUCAUGGAAACGGAAGGCAGAAAGGAAAUUUCUUCAGCUUGGGUCCCUCAGAGACAAAGAUAAGCAGCACGUUCAAGCUGGCAGGCCGUGGACACAAAAAUCUCCCUUAUCUUUGCAAUGUCUACUAGCAACAAAUUCAAUUACAUUUUAUUUGUUGCAGACAUGUAGGAGGAGGAUACACAUUUCUCAGAAUUUCUUCAACCUUUCUCUGGUAACUUGCAGCUUCCAAACAGGAAUCUUCCUCUUGCCUUCCUCAUCAGGCUACCUGAAGAAUUCCUUGAAAGGUUUCAGACUUACAAAAAACAGGAACACUGACUGUGUUCUAACUCCCUUGCCUUUAGAACAUCCCAAAUAUCUGCCUUGGCUUGUAUCCAGAUGUCUCCCAAAGUCUCAUGUGGUCAUAGGUGGGGCUUGCUAAAUUAAUCCACUAAUUGGCAUGGCAUAGUUCUGGGAGUGGAUAAUGGGAAGGCCCAACCUGGGUGUGAGUGCUGCCUGCAGUAAGGGUGUGCAGCCUGGAUAGAAUAUAAGGGAUGGAAAGAAGGCUGCUGUCCUCACUUGCUGCCCCACUACUUCACUGCCUGCUGCCUUCUGUCUGCCAUGGACUGUUUCUUCUCUGGGAUGCCCCUCUGCCAUGCCACCCUGCCUUGGAGUCAGCCAACUAUGAACUGAGACUUCUACAUACUGUGAGCC